RNAcentral lists this ribosomal RNA (477 nucleotides) under uncultured bacterium. Its description in RNAcentral is "partial 16S ribosomal RNA". It matches the Rfam family "Bacterial small subunit ribosomal RNA", at positions 28 to 507 of the family's 1533-position model. The record is from RNAcentral.
GAUGAACGCUGGCGGCGUGCCUAACACAUGCAAGUCGAACGAAGCACCUUACCUGAUUCUUCGGAUGAAAGUUUGGUGACUGAGUGGCGGACGGGUGAGUAACGCGUGGGUAACCUGCCCUGUACAGGGGGAUAACAGCUGGAAACGGCUGCUAAUACCGCAUAAGCGCACGAGGAGACAUCUCCUUGUGUGAAAAACUCCGGUGGUACAGGAUGGGCCCGCGUCUGAUUAGCUGGUUGGCAGGGUAACGGCCUACCAAGGCAACGAUCAGUAGCCGGUCUGAGAGGAUGAACGGCCACAUUGGAACUGAGACACGGUCCAAACUCCUACGGGAGGCAGCAGUGGGGAAUAUUGCACAAUGGGGGAAACCCUGAUGCAGCAACGCCACGUGAGUGAAGAAGUAUUUCGGUAUGUAAAGCUCUAUCAGCAGGGAAGAUAAUGACGGUACCUGACUAAGAAGCUCCGGCUAAAUACGUG